UUAACAAAGAGAAGCAAGACCGCGAGGGUGGGAGCAAAACUCAAAAAAAUGGUCUCAGUUCGGACUGCAGGCUGCAACCCGCCUGCACGAAGUUGGAAUUGCUAGUAAUCGUGGAUCAGCAUGCCACGGUGAAUACGUUCCCGGGUCUUGUACACACCGCCCGUCACACCAUGGGAGUCGGUAACACCCGAAGUCCGUAGCCUAACCGCAAGGGGGCGCGGCCGAAGGUGGGUUCGAUAAUUGGGGUGAAGUCGUAACAAGGUAAC
RNAcentral lists this ribosomal RNA (266 nucleotides) under uncultured bacterium. RNAcentral's name for it is "partial 16S ribosomal RNA". It matches the Rfam family "Bacterial small subunit ribosomal RNA", at positions 1236 to 1500 of the family's 1533-position model. The record is from RNAcentral.